GAGUUUGAUCAUGGCUCAGAUUGAACGCUGGCGGCAGGCCUAACACAUGCAAGUCGAACGGUAACAGGAAGCAGCUUGCUGCUUCGCUGACGAGUGGCGGACGGGUGAGUAAUGUCUGGGAAGCUGCCUGAUGGAGGGGGAUAACUACUGGAAACGGUAGCUAAUACCGCAUAAUGUCGCAAGACCAAAGAGGGGGACCUUCGGGCCUCUUGCCAUCGGAUGUGCCCAGAUGGGAUUAGCUUGUUGGUGGGGUAACGGCUCACCAAGGCGACGAUCCCUAGCUGGUCUGAGAGGAUGACCAGCCACACUGGAACUGAGACACGGUCCAGACUCCUACGGGAGGCAGCAGUGGGGAAUAUUGCACAAUGGGCGCAAGCCUGAUGCAGCCAUGCCGCGUGUAUGAAGAAGGCCUUCGGGUUGUAAAGUACUUUCAGCGGGGAGGAAGGGAGUAAAGUUAAUACCUUUGCUCAUUGACGUUACCCGCAGAAGAAGCACCGGCUAACUCCGUGCCAGCAGCCGCGGUAAUACGGAGGGUGCAAGCGUUAAUCGGGAUUACUGGGCGUAAAGCGCACGCAGGCGGUUUGUUAAGUCAGAUGUGAAAUCCCCGGGCUCAACCUGGGAACUGCAUCUGAUACUGGCAAGCUUGAGUCUCGUAGAGGGGGGUAGAAUUCCAGGUGUAGCGGUGAAAUGCGUAGAGAUCUGGAGGAAUACCGGUGGCGAAGGCGGCCCCCUGGACGAAGACUGACGCUCAGGUGCGAAAGCGUGGGGAGCAAACAGGAUUAGAUACCCUGGUAGUCCACGCCGUAAACGAUGUCGACUUGGAGGUUGUGCCCUUGAGGCGUGGCUUCCGGAGCUAACGCGUUAAGUCGACCGCCUGGGGAGUACGGCCGCAAGGUUAAAACUCAAAUGAAUUGACGGGGGCCCGCGCAAGCGGUGGAGCAUGUGGUUUAAUUCGAUGCAACGCGAAGAACCUUACCUGGUCUUGACAUCCACGGAAGUUUUCAGAGAUGAGAAUGUGCCUUCGGGAACCGUGAGACAGGUGCUGCAUGGCUGUCGUCAGCUCGUGUUGUGAAAUGUUGGGUUAAGUCCCGCAACGAGCGCAACCCUUAUCCUUUGUUGCCAGCGGUCCGGCCGGGAACUCAAAGGAGACUGCCAGUGAUAAACUGGAGGAAGGUGGGGAUGACGUCAAGUCAUCAUGGCCCUUACGACCAGGGCUACACACGUGCUACAAUGGCGCAUACAAAGAGAAGCGACCUCGCGAGAGCAAGCGGACCUCAUAAAGUGCGUCGUAGUCCGGAUUGGAGUCUGCAACUCGACUCCAUGAAGUCGGAAUCGCUAGUAAUCGUGGAUCAGAAUGCCACGGUGAAUACGUCCCCGGGCCUUGUACACACCGCCCGUCACACCAUGGGAGUGGGUUGCAAAAGAAGUAGGUAGCUUAACCUUCGGGAGGGCGCUUACCACUUUGUGAUUCAUGACUGGGGUGAAGUCGUAACAAGGUA
RNAcentral lists this ribosomal RNA (1499 nucleotides) under metagenome. Its description in RNAcentral is "bacterial SSU rRNA". It matches the Rfam family "Bacterial small subunit ribosomal RNA". The record is from RNAcentral.